ACCAGCGUGGAGUAAUGGUUUGAGUGUUGGGCUCUGAAUCUGGAGACCAGGGUUCAAAUCCCAGCCAUGAAA
Non-coding RNA from Phrynosoma platyrhinos (Desert horned lizard), 72 nucleotides. The record is from the annotation of a GenBank genome assembly. Lineage: Eukaryota; Metazoa; Chordata; Lepidosauria; Squamata; Phrynosomatidae.